This is a non-coding RNA of Mycena maculata, 99 nucleotides long. The record is from the annotation of a GenBank genome assembly. Lineage: Eukaryota; Fungi; Basidiomycota; Agaricomycetes; Agaricales; Mycenaceae.
GCCUCUGUGGAUUAGUGUUAGAUCACCUCAAUUAUCUGGAAGGUGAUGAAAUUCACAGAAGGUAUUGAGGAAGUGUGGGUUCGAAUCCCACCAGAUACA